CGGGAACUCGGCCCUGCGGGAGCGCGCGGCCUUCCCAAGGCGGCGGCGCGAGGCGGCCUGAGAGCGCGCCCGCGUGCACGUCCGCUCCCCCUCCCCCACUCCGCAGGGGAAGACCCCAAAUCCUGCGAAGGCCUCAGGGCUCCUUAAACUUGUGGGGCUGGCGCGACCCUUAGAAUCCCGACCUCCAGUCCCGGGGCCACCGCCCUCCCUGCUUGUGGGGCGGGACGCAGGAACACUACGGACGCCGGACCCCGGACCAGAGACCCCCACGACCCGACUCAUGGAGGCGCCCAGUAACUUUGAAGUGAAAGACUGUUGAAGACCCCUGGCUCGCGUGAGUCGAGCUCCGAGGAGACGAACUCCUAAACCAGAGUUGGGGUUGGGAGCGUCCGCUUUGAACAUUUAGUUCCACCCCGAGGAGACGAUGUCCACCCAGCUCAGGUCCUCAUCUCCCUUCCUCUGGAGUCCUCUUCUGUAACUCUCACCAUUGAGAGGCACCUUGCAAGACGAAAGGACUUAAAAUCUUACAUGUUACUGCCCAGCACAAAGGAGUUCGCAUGUGAUCUUUGCAGAUCAUCCCC
Neomonachus schauinslandi (Hawaiian monk seal) is the source of this 581-nucleotide long non-coding RNA. RefSeq lists it as uncharacterized. The record is from RefSeq and is a predicted model, not a curated record. The transcript has 3 exons. NCBI's taxonomy places the organism in Eukaryota, Metazoa, Chordata, Mammalia, Carnivora, Phocidae.